CCUGGUGGCAAUAGCCCGAGGGAAACACGCGAUCCCAUCCCGAACUCGAAUGUGAAGACUCGGAACGCCUAUGGUACUGCGGCUUAAGUCGUGGGAGAGUCGGUAACUGCCAGGU
RNAcentral lists this ribosomal RNA (115 nucleotides) under Paracoccaceae bacterium. The record is from RNAcentral. Lineage: Bacteria; Pseudomonadati; Pseudomonadota; Alphaproteobacteria; Rhodobacterales; Paracoccaceae.